RNAcentral lists this long non-coding RNA (1206 nucleotides) under Nicotiana tabacum (common tobacco). Its description in RNAcentral is "long non-coding RNA (NTAB_LNC015838)". Lineage: Eukaryota; Viridiplantae; Streptophyta; Magnoliopsida; Solanales; Solanaceae. The record is from RNAcentral.
UCAAAGUCAUGAACAUGAUCAGAUGUUUGAUAACAAGUUCUAGAAGCCUUUAAUCGUCAAUCAUUACAAGUUAAUGGCAGGUCAUAGUAAUUCCAUUCAACAUGAAACUGGAUAAAGUUUGUAUUGCGUAACAAUAACCGAAAUUUUGAGGAUGGAAUUAGCAAAGUAGAAUCUGGGGCAUGAACCAAUAGCCUCGUGUCUGAAAAAACAUACCACCACAAGAAAGUAACAAACACAUUAGGCUAAACCUUUGAGUAGUAUUCAACUAAAAGGAUGAACCAAGUGUAACAUUUAUUGCAUCUCGUGUUCAUCCUAAUCCAACCUGUAUGAUAGUAGAAGAGACAAAAUAGAUGGAAACACAAGUGGCAAAGAAAAUUUUGUAUUUAUAAAGGAAGACCAAAUAUCUACUAAGGUCUAAACUUGUAUUCCAAUAAACAACAUCAGCAGCAAGAAUAUAUACUAAAAAAGGGCAGCCCGGCGUACUAAGCGCCCGCUAUGCACGGGGUACGGGGAAGGGUUGGACCACAAGGGUCUAUCGUACGCAGCCUUACCCUACAUUUCCACAAGAGGCUAUUUCUACAGCUCGAACCCGUGACAUGCUGAUCACCUGGCGGCAACUUUAUCACUUACGCCAAGUCUCCCCUUCAGGAUAAACAUAUACUAUCUGAAAUAAAUAAAUGAAUAAACAUAUACCUGCUAUAUAUAAAAUAUAGUAUACGAGGGAAAAAAGCAAGUAAACAUCUUUGAACUUCAUAACUGCAAUUUCAACACUUCCUUCAGCAAAUAGGCUUACAGUCACAGCAGUGAGUGCCUCUCCCAAUUGAGGAAAAAUGACGAGACUUUACUAAAAACAUGAAAGUCCUAGGCUCUUAGCUACUAAUUUCUUCAAAGGACUGGAGAAAGCUAAAAUCUAAAAUCAAAACCAGAAAUAGAAACCAUUAAUUAAACAUUUCAGCAAACAAUAAUACCGAUGGUUUUUCAAAGAAAGGAAAAUCCCCUGAAAAUGACUGAGACGUAGAUUCUCAAGAAUCAAGCCGGCUAUAGACAAAACAUCUUCUAUUCAAUAGACAAAAGCUCAUACUAAUAAGAAACGCUGCUACAAAAAAAAAAUCAUCAACAAAAUUACCGAGUAUAUCAACAAAGUAGCCUUCUGCAUUCAGCAAGUUGGAGAGGAAUGAAGCAGUGGCUCCUUUGCCUUUUGUUCCA